GACGAACGCUGGCGGCGUGCCUAAUACAUGCAAGUUGAGCGAUGAAGAUUGGUGCUUGCACCAAUUUGAAGAGCAGCGAACGGGUGAGUAACGCGUGGGUAAUCUGCCUUUGAGCGGGGGACAACAUUUGGAAACGAAUGCUAAUACCGCAUAACAACUUUAAACAUAAGUUUUAAGUUUGAAAGAUGCAAUUGCAUCACUCAAAGAUGAUCCCGCGUUGUAUUAGCUAGUUGGUGAGGUAAAGGCUCACCAAGGCGAUGAUACAUAGCCGACCUGAGAGGGUGAGCGGCCACAUUGGGACUGGGACACGCCCCAAACUCCUACGGGAGGCAGCAGUAGGGAAUCUUCAGCGAUGGACGAAAGGCUGACCGAGCAACGCCGCGGGAGUGAAGAAGGUUUUCGGAUCGGAAAACUCUGUUGGUAGAGAAGAACGUUGGUGAGAGUGGAAAGCUCAUCAAGUGACGGUAACUACCCAGAAAGGGACGGCUAACUACGUG
This 497-nucleotide ribosomal RNA is filed under the name uncultured bacterium. RNAcentral describes it as "partial 16S ribosomal RNA". It matches the Rfam family "Bacterial small subunit ribosomal RNA", at positions 28 to 507 of the family's 1533-position model. The record is from RNAcentral.